GAUGAAGAACGUAGCGAAAUGCGAUAAGUAGUGUGAAUUGCAGAAUUCCGUGAAUCAUCGAAUCUUUGAACGCACAUUGCGCCUCUAGGUAUUCCUGGAGGCACGCCUGUUCGAGCGCCAUUACACACUCCAAGCUCUGCUUGAUGUUGGACGACCCGAGAGAUCGGACGUCUGGAACGUGUGGGCGUCGGGCGUCGGACCACGAGCGUAGCAAGACCAUCAAACAGUCAAGUCGUUCUGUGGAGCCGGCGGUCGACCGCCUCUUUUUACAACUUUAACCACAAGUUUGGCCUCGGAUCAGGCGGGGAUACCCGCUGAACUUAAGCAUAUCAAUAAGCGGAGGA
RNAcentral lists this unclassified non-coding RNA (344 nucleotides) under soil metagenome. RNAcentral describes it as "partial contains 5.8S ribosomal RNA, internal transcribed spacer 2, and large subunit ribosomal RNA". The stretch from base 1 to 120 matches the Rfam family "5.8S ribosomal RNA", at positions 35 to 154 of the family's 154-position model. The record is from RNAcentral.